This 68-nucleotide transfer RNA is filed under the name Pseudomonas marginalis. RNAcentral describes it as "tRNA-Ser". Lineage: Bacteria; Pseudomonadati; Pseudomonadota; Gammaproteobacteria; Pseudomonadales; Pseudomonadaceae. The record is from RNAcentral. RNAcentral also lists the same sequence under 1 other name.
GCCCGUGGUUUCAAGCGGUUCGGAUAUGAAAUGGUGUAUCGGCGGUUCGAUUCCGUCUCUGGGCACCA